This 390-nucleotide long non-coding RNA is filed under the name Manihot esculenta (cassava). Its description in RNAcentral is "long non-coding RNA (MESC_LNC008526)". The record is from RNAcentral. Lineage: Eukaryota; Viridiplantae; Streptophyta; Magnoliopsida; Malpighiales; Euphorbiaceae.
UCACCCUCAUGUCACACACAAUGCCUGUGCCUCUUCUCUGAGCACUGAGCUCCACCACUUCCAGUGGGUCCACCGUCCGUUGUCCAACCUCCACUCUUCUCCCGGCAUCGAUUGAUUAACCAUCGCGGCUAACUCGGGUCGUCGCUCUUGACUACGUUGCGGAUGCGCGACUUAGCAACGCAGACUCCUCCUCACCUCACUGUCGCUCUCUAGUCUCUCUCUCCACGCAAUCGUUGGCGUCGGCCGUCGCUUUCCAGUCCAUCGGCUCUCCGCAUUGCUCUCAGGACCGAACCGAAGAGGGGUGCUUUGGGAACUAGAAAAUGUGAAUUUUUCUCUGACGAGACUGCCCUCGGCAAAGGUACCAUCAGCGAUUCAGCGUAGAAGUAAGAA